Molecule: ribosomal RNA, 1213 nt
Filed under: metagenome
Description: bacterial SSU rRNA
Rfam family: Bacterial small subunit ribosomal RNA
Source: RNAcentral
GGUCAGCCACACUGGGACUGAGACACUGCCCAGACUCCUACGGGAGGCUGCAGUCGAGGAUCAUUGUCAAUGCGCGAAAGCGUGAACAUGCGACGCUGCGUGGAGGAUGAAGGCCUUCGGGUCGUAAACUCCUGUCAUCCGGGGAAAACGAUUCCGUCCCGAAUACGGGCGGGAAGUGAUGGUACCGGAAGAGGAAGCCACGGCUAACUCUGUGCCAGCAGCCGCGGUAAUACAGAGGUGGCGAGCGUUGUACGGAUUUACUGGGCGUAAAGGGUGCGUAGGUGGCUUCGUAUGUCGGGUGUGAAAGCCCACGGCUCAACCGUGGAACUGCAUCUGAAACUGCGGGGCUAGAGUGCAGGAGGGGAGAGCGGAAUUCUUGGUGUAGCGGUGAAAUGCGUUGAUAUCAAGAAGAACACCGGUGGCGAAGGCGGCUCUCUGGAAUGCUACUGACACUGAGGCACGAAAGCUGGGGGAGCAAACAGGAUUAGAUACCCUGGUAGUCCCAGCCGUAAACGGUGUCGACUUGGUGUGGGGGGAAUUGACCCCCUCCGCGCCGGAGCUAACGCGUUAAGUCGACCGCCUGGGGAGUACGGCCGCAAGGCUAAAACUCAAAGAAAUUGACGGGGGCCCGCACAAGCGGAGGAGCACGUGGCUUAAUUCGAUGCAACGCGAAGAACCUUACCAGGGCUUGACAUGCAGCUGCUUCCUCCCCGAAAGGGGAGGGUCCUUCGAGGGUGCUGCACAGGUGCUGCAUGGCUGUCGUCAGUUCGUGCCGUGAGGUGUUGGGUUAAGUCCCGCAACGAACGCAACCCCUGUGGUUAGUUGCGACCACCGGUGAUGAGCCGGUGAGCACUCUAGCCAGACUGCCCGUACAAGCGGGAGGAAGGUGGGGACGACGUCAAGUCAGUAUGGCCCUUACGCCCUGGGCUGCACACGUGCUACAAUGGUCGGUACAGAGGGAUGCAAGACCGCGAGGUGGAGCAAAUCCCGAACACCGGCCCCAGUUCGGAUUGGAGUCUGAAACUCGACUCCAUGAAGUCGGAUUCGCUAGUAACGGCGCAUCAGCUACGGCGCCGUGAAUACGUUCCCGGGCCUUGUACACACCGCCCGUCACAUCAUGAAAGCCGUCUGCACCCGAAGUCGCUGAGCCAACCCCGGUCUUGCAUCCCUCUGUACCGACCAUUGUAGCACGUGUGCAGCCCAGGGCGUAAGG